UACUCUUGNNUCCNCNGAAUUCGGCAGAGAUGCCUUAGUGCCUUCGGGAACUGUGAGACAGGUGCUGCAUGGCUGUCGUCAGCUCGUGUUGUGAAAUGUUGGGUUAAGUCCCGCAACGAGCGCAACCCUUAUCCUUUGUUGCCAGCACGUAAUGGUGGGAACUCAAAGGAGACUGCCGGUGAUAAACCGGAGGAAGGUGGGGAUGACGUCAAGUCAUCAUGGCCCUUACGAGUAGGGCUACACACGUGCUACAAUGGCGUAUACAAAGAGAAGCGAACUCGCGAGAGCCAGCGGACCUCAUAAAGUACGUCGUAGUCCGGAUCGGAGUCUGCAACUCGACUCCGUGAAGUCGGAAUCGCUAGUAAUCGNAGAUCAGAAUGCUACGGUGAAUACNUUCCCGGG
This 402-nucleotide ribosomal RNA is filed under the name Serratia sp. AZTITEMP191. Its description in RNAcentral is "bacterial SSU rRNA". It matches the Rfam family "Bacterial small subunit ribosomal RNA", at positions 976 to 1378 of the family's 1533-position model. The record is from RNAcentral. Lineage: Bacteria; Pseudomonadati; Pseudomonadota; Gammaproteobacteria; Enterobacterales; Yersiniaceae.